GACGAACGCUGGCGGCGUGCUUAACACAUGCAAGUCGAACGGAAAGGCCCUGCUUUUGUGGGGUGCUCGAGUGGCGAACGGGUGAGUAACACGUGAGUAACCUGCCCUUGACUUUGGGAUAACUUCAGGAAACUGGGGCUAAUACCGGAUAGGAGCUCCUGCUGCAUGGUGGGGGUUGGAAAGUUUCGGCGGUUGGGGAUGGACUCGCGGCUUAUCAGCUUGUUGGUGGGGUAGUGGCUUACCAAGGCUUUGACGGGUAGCCGGCCUGAGAGGGUGACCGGCCACAUUGGGACUGAGAUACGGCCCAGACGCCUACGGGAGGCAGCAGUGGGGAAUAUUGCACAAUGGGCGGAAGCCUGAUGCAGCAACGCCGCGUACGGGAUGACGGCCUUCGGGUUGUAAACCGCUUUCGCCUGUGACGAAGCGUGAGUGACGGUAAUGGGUAAAGAAGCACCGGCUAACUACGUG
Molecule: ribosomal RNA, 468 nt
Filed under: uncultured bacterium
Lineage: Bacteria
Description: partial 16S ribosomal RNA
Rfam family: Bacterial small subunit ribosomal RNA
Source: RNAcentral